GAGAGCUGGUUCUCCUUCACAGUGUCUGUUGAGGUUUUGCUAGUGGAGAAGGCAUGGCUGUAGACAAGGACAGAGGUGUGUUCUCAUGGAGUGAGCAGCAGGAAGAGAAAGCAGGCCUUAGUCUUCUCUCAAAUGCUCUGUCUCUGCCACGUCAGCCCUACCUCUGAAAGCUCUACGGUCUUCAAAAGAGGACCAGGAGCUGGAAACUACUGUUCCAGAUAAGCCUGCGGGGCUGUUUCUAAUUCAAGUCCUAACACAGUGUAACACAAAGGACCAGGCCAACCAACAACCUUACCUGUGAAGUAAAAAUACAGAAUUUACUCGGUUUCGAUGCUUAGGUCUCUGUACACAAAGGGGAAAAUGGCUCCCCUUUGUCCUUAUAAGGUUUGAGGCUGGGUACAAGCCAAGUUGACAAAGGUCAAGCUAACAAGAGAAAAAAAAAAAGAUGUUGAUGAGGUAUAUAUACACAACUAGACUCCCAUAAAACAAAAGACAAGAGGGAGGGUCGGAUGGUGGACGCUUAUACAGCAUCACAAGCCAGAGAAAAGUGAUUAUAGAAUAAGCAACCUCUAAUCGUGAAGCAGAAACCCAAGAAUCCUAUGAGCACAGCGCCUGAAAGCACCAUCAGCUGGAGAGCCAGACAAAGAAGCUGCUCGCCCUGAACGGUGGGCUUUCAGACUCCAGCAGCAGCAGAGCGCGGUGCACAGGCAGAGUGCAAAGCUCUGCUCAGAGCACAACGCACAACGGCCAGGUUCUGUGAACCUCCCGGUGCUGAGUCUGCCUUUCUGUGGCAAGUGAAAGCUGAAGUUUCGAAUAGGUCAUGAUCAUGAUACAGUG
This is a long non-coding RNA of Mastomys coucha (southern multimammate mouse), 837 nucleotides long. RefSeq lists it as uncharacterized. The record is from RefSeq and is a predicted model, not a curated record. NCBI's taxonomy places the organism in Eukaryota, Metazoa, Chordata, Mammalia, Rodentia, Muridae. The transcript has 2 exons.